AUAGGAGGUCCCGCCUGCCCUGUGACUAGAAGUUUAACGGCCGCGGUAUUUUAACCGUGCAAAGGUAGCGCAAUCAAUUGUCUUUUAAAUGAAGACCUGUAUGAAUGGCAUCACGAGGGUUUAACUGUCUCUUUCUCCCGAUCAGUGAAACUGAUCUGCCCGUGCAGAAGCGGGCAUAACCCCACAAGACGAGAAGACCCUAUGGAGCUUUAGGCUUUUUACCAGCUGCAAGAAGCGCGCACACAGCCUGCGUUCACCCUCCGCAAUAUUGGAUUAAAUGCCUUCGGUUGGGGCGACCACGGGAGAUAGAGAAGCUCCCGAGUGGAUUGGGGGAAACUCCAGAGCUCAGAGGAACCCCUCUAAGCAACAGAAAAUCUGACCUUCAAUGAUCCGGCCAAGGCCGAUCAACGGACCAAGUUACCCUAGGGAUAACAGCGCAAUCCCCUCCCAGAGUCCAUAUCGACGAGGGGGUUUACGACCUCGAUGUUGGAUCAGGACAUCCUAAUGGUGCAGACGCUAUUAAGGGUUCGUUUGUUCAACGAUUAAAGUCCUACGUGAUCUGAGUUCAGACCGGAGUAAUCCAGGUCAGUUUCUAUCUGUGA
RNAcentral lists this ribosomal RNA (602 nucleotides) under Spratelloides gracilis (silver-stripe round herring). Its description in RNAcentral is "partial 16S ribosomal RNA". It matches the Rfam family "Bacterial large subunit ribosomal RNA", at positions 1845 to 2647 of the family's 2925-position model. The record is from RNAcentral. Lineage: Eukaryota; Metazoa; Chordata; Actinopteri; Clupeiformes; Clupeidae.